Molecule: unclassified non-coding RNA, 344 nt
Filed under: Algoriphagus faecimaris
Lineage: Bacteria; Pseudomonadati; Bacteroidota; Cytophagia; Cytophagales; Cyclobacteriaceae
Description: transfer-messenger RNA
Rfam family: transfer-messenger RNA
About the family: Bacterial tmRNA, also known as 10Sa RNA or SsrA, is named for its dual tRNA and mRNA-like properties. Its role is to liberate the mRNA from a stalled ribosome. To accomplish this part of the tmRNA is used as a reading frame that ends in a translation stop signal.
Source: RNAcentral
GGGGUUCUUUAGGACAUAUUUUGUUCGGUACAUUUUCAGUGGCAAUUCAGUGGCAGAACUCUCUGAAAUCCUCUGGAUCAACUCAUCAUUUUAUAUACUUAAUCGAAAUGGAAACUGGUAGAAUCAACUUGUACUAAGCUCUAGAAAUUAUACCUAAACUAAGGUGUCGAUCAGGUCAGACUGCGAGCGGUGAUGCGAUUAAGCCGUUCUAAGAUCAAUCGAUAAGCUAGGUUCAGGUGUGUCAUCCAGCAUAAUCUAGUCGAAAAACCAACAGGUGACUAAGCAUGUAGACGGUACGGUGUUUCCUUAUCUGGACGCGAGUUCGAAUCUCGCCAGCUCCACAA